UCAAAUUUACAUCUUCAACCCCAUUAUUCUGAAAUUCAAAGAGAAUAAAACAAUAAAAAUCAAGAAUCAAAUCCAAAGCGUGUUUCCUCUAAAAAAACACAAGAGUUUUUCCCACAUUAAACGAAAAGAACGAAGCAUACGUUUAUUCUGUUUCAUCUUCUGCUUUCCUAACUCAUAUAAUUAAAGCAUCUAUCGACGAAGACGAAGAGAUGGUGGAAGCAAAAAAAGAUAAUUAUGAGGAUGACGACAAGUGAUAGAUUAAUAUCGUAGAAGUUUGAUGGGAUCUUUUAAACACCACCGGAAAAGUAGAAGUCGAUAUAUAAAUAUAGUAUAAUAUUUUUUUAUGGGUGUAUCUCAUGUCUUAUUGAUGGAGAUAAGAAAUUGUAUGUGACAGUUAAGAUGAGCAAAACGCUUUACCUGUAAAAGAUUAUCUGAUAGGAUGGAAAUUUAAGUUUUUA
Molecule: long non-coding RNA, 458 nt
Organism: Tarenaya hassleriana
Lineage: Eukaryota; Viridiplantae; Streptophyta; Magnoliopsida; Brassicales; Cleomaceae
Exons: 2
Source: RefSeq, a predicted model, not a curated record